GUAGGUACCCAGUAAUUUUUGUUGUAUUGAAUAGGUCCUUUGAAAAUUGAUUAUGAAGAUAAACAAAGAGGACAGAGAAACGGAAUAAAGAACAGAAAAGGAAAGUCAGGAAAAGGAAAAGAUGAAAAUAUUAAAAUCAAAUAGUACCUAAUAAUUUUUUUCAAAUACUAUAUAUUUAAAGUUUUUGCACUAAUGGAAAUGAGUAGCUGUUCCUCACCUUACUGAAGGACUAAAGAAGGCAGAAGAUGUUUAAGGAACAACGUCAAUAAGAAUCAUAUUGGUUGUCAACCCUUAACAAGAUGAACUGCCAAACACCAAGGUAGCGCUGCACAGAAGUGAUAAUAGGGAUGAAUGAUUCAACCUCUGCACUGUACUACAAUACACCCAGGAGUCAUGUACUUCGAGAGUGUUGCUAUGACCACCUUAUGAUUCUGCAGAGUCUCUUCCUCAGUCUCUAGUCUUGUUACCCUUUAGACCUUAGGUUUCCAAUUCCAUCUCAGAAUCUGAGUUGUCCAAAGAAAUGAUAACCUGCAUUUUCCUAGCUUUACCAAAACUGUAACAUAUUAUGACAUUAAACUUUAU
Long non-coding RNA from Sarcophilus harrisii (Tasmanian devil), 582 nucleotides. RefSeq lists it as uncharacterized. The record is from RefSeq and is a predicted model, not a curated record. The transcript is spliced from 3 exons. NCBI's taxonomy places the organism in Eukaryota, Metazoa, Chordata, Mammalia, Dasyuromorphia, Dasyuridae.